RNAcentral lists this ribosomal RNA (484 nucleotides) under uncultured bacterium. RNAcentral describes it as "bacterial SSU rRNA". It matches the Rfam family "Bacterial small subunit ribosomal RNA", at positions 1 to 436 of the family's 1533-position model. The record is from RNAcentral.
CGACUUCCGGUCAUCGCGAAUGCACCAGCAUGAUUAAUGAUCAUGGCUCAGAGUGACCGCUGGCGUAAGUGCCUAACACAUGCAAGUCGAACGGCAGCACAGGAGAGCUUGCUCUCUGGGUGGCGAGUGGCGGACGGGAGAGUGAAUACAUCGGAAUCUACUCUGUCGUGGGGGAUAACGUAGGGAAACUUACUGCUAAUUACCGCAUUACGACCUAACGGGUGAAAGCAUGGGUGAUCUUACGGACCUUGCGCGAUUGAAUGAAGCCGAUGUCGUGAUUAGCUAGUUGGCGGGGUAAAGGCCCACCAAAGGCGACGAUCCGUAGCUGGUCUGAGAGUGAUGAUCAGCCACACUGGAACUGAGACACGGAUCCAGACUCCUACGUGGAGGCAGCAGUGGGGAAUAUUGGACAACUGGGCUGCAACGCCUGAUCCAUGCCAUACCGCGUGGGAGAAGAAGUGCCUUCGNGGUUGUAAAGACCUUU